This 510-nucleotide ribosomal RNA is filed under the name uncultured bacterium. Its description in RNAcentral is "bacterial SSU rRNA". It matches the Rfam family "Bacterial small subunit ribosomal RNA", at positions 28 to 507 of the family's 1533-position model. The record is from RNAcentral.
GACGAACGCUGGCGGCGGGCCUAAUACAUGCAAGUCGAGCGAGCUGAAUUCAAAGAUCCCUUCGGGGUGAUUUGUUGGACGCUAGCGGCGGAUGGGUGAGUAACACGUGGGCAAUCUGCCCUAAAAACUGGGAUACCACUGGGAAACAGGUGCUAAUCCCGGAUAACAACAUGAAUCGCAUGAUUCAGGUUUGAAAGGGGGCGCAGGCUGUCACUUUAGGAUGAGCCCGCGGCGCAUUACCUAGUUGGGGGGGAAAAGGCCUACCAAGGCAAUGAUGCGUAGCCAAGUUGAGAGACUGAUCGGCCACAUUGGGCCUGAGACACGGCCCAAACUCCUACGGGAGGCAGCAGUAGGAAAUCUUCCACAAGGGACCCAAGUCUGAUGAACCACCCCCGCGUGAGUGAAGAAGGUUUUCGGAUCGUAAAGCUCUGUUGUUGGUGAAAAAGGAUAGAGGCAGUAACUGGCCUUUAUUUGACGGAAAUCAACCAAAAAGUCACGGCUAACUACGUG